This 982-nucleotide unclassified non-coding RNA is filed under the name Hevea brasiliensis (rubber tree). The record is from RNAcentral. Lineage: Eukaryota; Viridiplantae; Streptophyta; Magnoliopsida; Malpighiales; Euphorbiaceae.
GAUUAUCUGGGUGAAAGAGAGGAGUUUCCUCUGAAAGUUAUGCAUGCAUAUGUUGAUUCUUUUAAUUUUGAAGGUAUGAAUUUUGGUGAAUCAAUCAGAUAUUUCCUUCGAGGGUUCAGAUUACCCGGUGAAGCUCAGAAGAUUGACCGUAUAAUGGAGAAGUUUGCUGAGCGCUUUUGUAAAUGCAAUCCCAACUCUUUUACCAGCGCAGAUACAGCUUAUGUGCUAGCUUACUCUGUGAUAAUGCUCAAUACAGAUGCACAUAAUAGCAUGGUGAAAGAUAAGAUGACAAAAGCUGAUUUUAUCCGGAACAAUCGAGGGAUCGACGACGGGAAGGAUUUACCUGAAGAUUAUUUGGGUGCUCUUUAUGACCAAAUUGUGAGAAACGAGAUAAAGAUGAAAGCAGAUUCUUCCGUGCCACAAAACAAGCAGGGGAAUAGUCUUAAUAAGCUGUUGGGCUUGGAUGGUAUACUGAAUCUAGUAUGGAAGCAGAGAGAGGAAAAACCACUGGGUGCAAACGGAGUUCUCGUGAGGCAUAUUCAAGAGCAGUUUAAAGUAAAAUCUGGAAAAUCUGAGUCUGUCUAUUAUGUCAUUGCAGAUCCAGCUAUUUUGAGAUUUAUGGUAGAAGUCUGCUGGGGUCCCAUGCUUGCUGCUUUCAGUGUCACCCUAGACCAGAGUGAUGAUAAGAAUGCCACUUCUCAAUGUUUGCUAGGGUUCAGGCAUGCUGUGCAUAUUACAGCUGUGAUGGGUAUGCAGACGCAGAGAGAUGCUUUUGUCACCUCUAUGGCAAAGUUCACUAAUCUUCAUUGUGCGGCCGAUAUGAAACAAAAAAAAUGUUGAUACAAUGAAAACAAUAAUGUCAAUUGCCAUUGAAGAUGGGAAUCAUCUUCAUGAAGCGUGGGAGCAUAUAUUGACAUGUCUAUCUCGAUUUGAGCAUCUGCAGUUGCUGGGGGAGGGAGCGCCAUCUGAUUCCUCCUUUUUU